This 253-nucleotide ribosomal RNA is filed under the name uncultured bacterium. RNAcentral describes it as "partial 16S ribosomal RNA". It matches the Rfam family "Bacterial small subunit ribosomal RNA", at positions 524 to 776 of the family's 1533-position model. The record is from RNAcentral.
UACGUAGGGUGCGAGCGUUACUCGGAAUUACUGGGCGUAAAGCGUGCGCAGGCGGUUUUGUAAGCCAGUUGUGAAAUCCCCGGGCUCAACCUGGGAACGGCAUUUGGGACUGCAAGGCUCGAGUGCGGCAGAGGAGACUGGAAUUCCUGGUGUAGCAGUGAAAUGCGUAGAUAUCAGGAGGAACACCGAUGGCGAAGGCAGGUCUCUGGGCUGACACUGACGCUCAUGCACGAAAGCGUGGGGAGCAAACAGG